This 477-nucleotide ribosomal RNA is filed under the name uncultured Acidobacteriota bacterium. RNAcentral describes it as "bacterial SSU rRNA". It matches the Rfam family "Bacterial small subunit ribosomal RNA", at positions 224 to 704 of the family's 1533-position model. Lineage: Bacteria; Pseudomonadati; Acidobacteriota. The record is from RNAcentral.
GAGGAGCCCGCGCACGAUUAGCUAGUUGGUAGGGUAAUGGCCUACCAAGGCCUUGAUCGUUAGCUGGUCUGAGAGGAUGGCCAGCCACACUGGAACUGAGACACGGUCCAGACUCCUACGGGAGGCAGCAGUGGGGAAUCUUGCACAAUGGGCGAAAGCCUGAUGCAGCGACGCCGCGUGGGGGAUGAAGCAUUUCGGUGUGUAAACCCCUUUCGAUCCGGACGAAUACCUCGCAAGAGGGGUGACGGUACGGAUAUAAGAAGCCCCGGCUAACUACGUGCCAGCAGCCGCGGUAAGACGUAGGGGGCCAGCGUUGUUCGGAAUUACUGGGUGUAAAGGGUUCGUAGGCGGUGUGGCAAGUUGGGAGUGAAAUCUCUGGGCUCAACCCAGAGGCUGCUUCCAAAACUGCUGUGCUUGAGUGUGAGAGAGGCGCGUGGAAUUGCAGGUGUAGCGGUGAAAUGCGUAGAUAUCUGCAGG